This 640-nucleotide ribosomal RNA is filed under the name Geobacillus kaustophilus. RNAcentral describes it as "bacterial SSU rRNA". It matches the Rfam family "Bacterial small subunit ribosomal RNA", at positions 34 to 655 of the family's 1533-position model. The record is from RNAcentral. Lineage: Bacteria; Bacillati; Bacillota; Bacilli; Caryophanales; Anoxybacillaceae.
UGCAUGCGGUGCUAUACAUGCAGUCGAGCGGACCAGAAAUCUGGAGCUUGCUCUGGUUUGGUCAGCGGCGGACGGGUGAGUAACACGUGGGCAACCUGCCCGCAAGACCGGGAUAACUCCGGGAAACCGGAGCUAAUACCGGAUAACACCGAAGACCGCAUGGUCUUUGGUUGAAAGGCGGCCUUUGGCUGUCACUUGCGGAUGGGCCCGCGGCGCAUUAGCUAGUUGGUGAGGUAACGGCUCACCAAGGCGACGAUGCGUAGCCGGCCUGAGAGGGUGACCGGCCACACUGGGACUGAGACACGGCCCAGACUCCUACGGGAGGCAGCAGUAGGGAAUCUUCCGCAAUGGGCGAAAGCCUGACGGAGCGACGCCGCGUGAGCGAAGAAGGCCUUCGGGUCGUAAAGCUCUGUUGUGAGGGACGAAGGAGCGCCGUUCGAAGAGGGCGGCGCGGUGACGGUACCUCACGAGGAAGCCCCGGCUAACUACGUGCCAGCAGCCGCGGUAAUACGUAGGGGGCGAGCGUUGUCCGGAAUUAUUGGGCGUAAAGCGCGCGCAGGCGGUUCCUUAAGUCUGAUGUGAAAGCCCACGGCUCAACCGUGGAGGGUCAUUGGAAACUGGGGGACUUGAGUGCAGGAGA